Molecule: long non-coding RNA, 226 nt
Organism: Rhipicephalus sanguineus (brown dog tick)
Lineage: Eukaryota; Metazoa; Arthropoda; Arachnida; Ixodida; Ixodidae
Exons: 3
Source: RefSeq, a predicted model, not a curated record
GCGGCAGCCGGCGGAAGCAAGACGGACCCCGUGGUGCCCGAUUCGGUGGUCUACGUAUGCAGCGUCAUCAUUGUCAUCAUGGUGGUGGGCGGAGUGAUCGGUCUGUCCAUUCUCAUGAAGAAGCGACUCGACGUCAACCAGAACGUCACAUCAGCGGCACCAGCAGGUCCGGGGGCGCCACCACCCAUAGCAAAACUAGUGUCGGUCGAGGACUCGGAGUCCAAUG